RNAcentral lists this ribosomal RNA (253 nucleotides) under uncultured bacterium. RNAcentral describes it as "partial 16S ribosomal RNA". It matches the Rfam family "Bacterial small subunit ribosomal RNA", at positions 524 to 776 of the family's 1533-position model. The record is from RNAcentral.
UACGUAGGGUGCGAGCGUUAAUCGGAAUUACUGGGCGUAAAGCGUGCGCAGGCGGUUUUGUAAGUCAGAUGUGAAAUCCCCGGGCUUAACCUGGGAACUGCGUUUGAAACUACAAGGCUAGAGUGUGACAGAGGGGGGUGGAAUUCCACGUGUAGCAGUGAAAUGCGUAGAGAUGUGGAGGAACACCGAUGGCGAAGGCAGCCCCCUGGGUUAACACUGACGCUCAGGCACGAAAGCGUGGGGAGCAAACAGG